UGUUCAAGCCGUAACAUUGGCAAUUCACCUAUAGAAGAGAUAUUGGAGUUUUAAAGUGAAUUUUCAGAUUCUAUUGUUACAGACCCAAUUAAUAGUUUUGAUAAACAAAAAUCGGAUUUUUUUCUGUACUUGGGACUAGUCAGAACAAUUUAACACCUAGAGAAAUGAUGAAUCCUGUACCCAUCAUUCAAGACUAUUUUCGAACAAAAAAUUGAAUAAUAAAAAUAUGGCGUAACUUACCGUUUCUUCGGCUCUUUGAUUUUCCCCCCAAACCUCUCGUUCUGAAGUAGAAGGCACUGUUGCCGAUUCGUUGGCGUUGUUUCUAUUACUAACUCGAAGACUAAUCGUUGAAUUUGAGGUACUCUGUUGUGAAUAUCUGAAACUAACCGAAGGUUCAGCACCAUGUUGUUCAAUGAAACCUUCCCGAAGAUUCCUUAAGGCUAUCAGAUGACAGUGAAGGUGACUGGUUGGUCCGCAUCGUAUACCUUCCGAAUUUAAUGAAUUUAUCUGAGACGUAGGACGAUCUGAGCUGUGUUCGAAAAGUACAUUAAAUAUUUUCUCUUGUAAUGUAUCUUACUUUGUUAGUUUUUUUUUUUUUAAAAUGAAUUUUUUUAAUUAUGCUAAUACCGUUCUACCAGAUUUUUAUAUUAAUCACCCAAAAUUAAAUAUAGGGCCAGAGUUAGUACUGAUUAUAUCAUCAAUAAACUUACAAACUCAUCACCAAAAA
Long non-coding RNA from Diorhabda sublineata, 727 nucleotides. RefSeq lists it as uncharacterized. The record is from RefSeq and is a predicted model, not a curated record. Lineage: Eukaryota; Metazoa; Arthropoda; Insecta; Coleoptera; Chrysomelidae. The transcript has 2 exons.